Molecule: ribosomal RNA, 774 nt
Filed under: uncultured Neocallimastigales
Lineage: Eukaryota; Fungi; Neocallimastigomycota; Neocallimastigomycetes; Neocallimastigales
Description: partial large subunit ribosomal RNA
Rfam family: Eukaryotic large subunit ribosomal RNA
Source: RNAcentral
UACUAGAGUAGCACUCGCAUAUCAAUAAGCGGAGGAAAAGAAACUAACAAGGAUUCCCCUAGUAACGGCGAGUGGAGCGGGAAGAGCUCAAAUUUGAAAUCUUAAAGGGUUUCCCUUUACGAAUUGUAGUUUAAAGAAGUGUUUUCUGUUGAGGUUUUGGUAAAAGUUCUUUGGAAUAGGACAUCAUAGAGGGUGAGAAUCCCGUAUUUGACCUUUACUUUCAACUUUGUGAUACACUUUCAAAGAGUCGGAUUGUUUGGGAAUGCAGUCCAAAAUGGGUGGUAAAUUUCAUCUAAAGCUAAAUAUUGGCGAGAGACCGAUAGCGAACAAGUACCGUGAGGGAAAGAUGAAAAGAACUUUGAAAAGAGAGUUAAACAGUACGUGAAAUUGUCAAAAGGGAAGCGUUUGACACCAGUGUUGUUUUUCUGAAAAUCAAUUAAAGAACUGUUUAUGCUAAGCUGUUUAGACUUUAUCAGCUAUCUGUUUAGUUUUGAGCUUUUCUUUAAUGCACUUUUCAGUUAACAAGUCAACAUCAAUUUCUUUUGCUGUAAAAAAGCUUGAGGAAGGUGGCUUGAGAUUCGUCUUAAGUGUUUAUAGCCUCUUGCCUAUGCAGUCGGAGAGAUUGAGGUCUGCAGCGUAGAUCCUUCGGGGCUAAAUGCAUUUGUGCUAAGUUAUAGCAUUUUAUAGACAACUUGUUGACUAUGAUUUGUCUUGUAGCUUACUCGCUUAUGUUAUUUUACCUACGCUUAGGAUGUUGAUCUACAGAGCGAGAGU